GUGUCAGCCGCCGCGGUAAUACGAGAGGGGCGAGCGUUAUUCGGAAUGAUUGGGCGUAAAGCGCACGUAGGCUGUUCAGAAAAUCAGAGAUAAAAAAAUCAAAGCUUAACUUUGAAACUUAUCUUAAUGACUACUAAACUAGAGUGAGUAAGAGGAGAAUGGAAUUCCUGGCGUAGAGGUAAAAUUUGUUGAUAUCAGGAGGAACACCAAAAGCGAAGGCAAUUCUCUGGUACUCUACUGACGUUGAGGUGCGACAGCGUGGGGAUCAAAAGGGAUUAGAAACCCGCGUAGUCC
RNAcentral lists this ribosomal RNA (294 nucleotides) under uncultured bacterium. RNAcentral's name for it is "partial 16S ribosomal RNA". It matches the Rfam family "Bacterial small subunit ribosomal RNA", at positions 505 to 796 of the family's 1533-position model. The record is from RNAcentral.